Molecule: unclassified non-coding RNA, 253 nt
Filed under: uncultured Solirubrobacterales bacterium
Lineage: Bacteria; Bacillati; Actinomycetota; Thermoleophilia; Solirubrobacterales
Description: contains 16S-23S intergenic spacer region
Rfam family: Bacterial small subunit ribosomal RNA
Source: RNAcentral
UACGUAGGGGGCAAGCGUUGUCCGGAAUCAUUGGGCGUAAAGCGCGCGUAGGCGGCUCUGUAAGUCCGUUGUGAAAGUCAAAGGCUCAACCUUUGAAAGCCGAUGGAUACUGCAGGGCUAGAGUCCGGAAGAGGCGAGUGGAAUUCCUGGUGUAGCGGUGGAAUGCGCAGAUAUCAGGAGGAACACCAAUAGCGAAGGCAGCUCGCUGGGACGGUACUGACGCUGAGGCGCGAAAGCGUGGGGAGCAAACCGG